AUACUUAGCUGGCAGGGGUGAUAAGAUGAUCCAGAAGGUGGUUUUCCCAGGGCGAGGCUUAUCCAUUUUACUUCGAGGAUGUGCUGACCCCUGUGAUUUUCCCAAAGUGGGAAACUCGAUUUCAUAAUUUGUGGUAGUGGGAGAGUGCAUUUGUGCUCUCCCCUG
Mesocricetus auratus (golden hamster) is the source of this 165-nucleotide small nuclear RNA. Its record names the gene U1. It matches the Rfam family "U1 spliceosomal RNA". Rfam says of the family: U1 is a small nuclear RNA (snRNA) component of the spliceosome (involved in pre-mRNA splicing). Its 5' end forms complementary base pairs with the 5' splice junction, thus defining the 5' donor site of an intron. Lineage: Eukaryota; Metazoa; Chordata; Mammalia; Rodentia; Cricetidae. The record is from Ensembl.